UUUUUUUCUUAAGUUAUCUUGUCCGGCAAUACAAAUAUCAGACAGACAGGAGAACUAUUUUUUUGAAAAUUAAAAGAGUCGUCCGGUGUUUAAAAUACCGAACAACUCUUCAGGGGAUUGAGGCUAAACCAAAGAGGUUGGUACUUGACAGAGGGAGAAGCCAGGCGAGAAAGAGAGGAUAAUCAUAACAUAGAAAAGCUUGAGAGAAAGGGAAACGUGUUGAGAUAGAGAGAUGUUGCAGCUUGAGAGAGGAAUAGAGAAACUCAUAACCGAUUUGAAGAAAGCAAGGCUUUGCUCUUCUCUAAGACUGGGCAGCUGUAACCAGAGAAAAAAACAACUCUAUUCAGCUGUAACCAGAGAGAAAAACUACUCUAUUUUCAUCAACAGUUUCUCUACCUUUUUUUAUAACUUUCUAGAAAGAUUAUGGCUAAGCUGGUUCUUGAGCCGAAACCAGGUCUUGGAACUUUGCUAAGAGGCGCUGCAGCAUUCGCCCCCAUGGAGCUAGAUCCAAAAUGCCCCUUAAGGUUUCUUAGGUCCAUCUAGAUUAUCCAUAACUGGCGCAUCACCCCGUACAGGUCCCUGUUAGUGGAUAGAACUGCUGAUGCAAGUCGAACUUCUGCAACCUUACUGGUUGGGGCUUUGUAUCAUUCUCCCCCAGUAAGUUUCAUUUCGAACCAAAACCAGAGUCCUCUAAACUUCUUUUUCAUGGGUCCAUCACAUUGUACUUGAUGCAUUGGUUGUCACCAUUUUCCCCAACGUUGCUCUAAAAUCGUUAUUAUUCUAUUCUUCACAUGCAAUUGCAGAGAAUCAAUGGCAUUUCCAGCCAUGAACGCUUUUGCAAAUUCAUUUCCUGUAUAUUUUCCUCUCUUCCUUUUCCUGAGCUUUUCAGCCAUGGCUGACGAUGAAUCAAAAGAAGGAGACGCUCUUUAUGCCCUAAAAUACACUUUCAACCACCCUUUCCUCAACAAGCAUUGGAAUGGUCCUCAUUGGAAUCAGUUGUAUCAAUG
Molecule: long non-coding RNA, 1007 nt
Filed under: Amborella trichopoda
Lineage: Eukaryota; Viridiplantae; Streptophyta; Magnoliopsida; Amborellales; Amborellaceae
Description: long non-coding RNA (ATRI_LNC004728)
Source: RNAcentral